GCCGGGGUGGCGGAACGGCAGACGCUACGGACUUAAAAUCCGUUGCCCGCGAGGGCGUGUGGGUUCGAGUCCCAUCCCCGGCACCA
This 86-nucleotide transfer RNA is filed under the name Meiothermus sp. QL-1. RNAcentral describes it as "tRNA-Leu". It matches the Rfam family "tRNA". From Rfam's summary of the family: Transfer RNA (tRNA) molecules are approximately 80 nucleotides in length. Their secondary structure includes four short double-helical elements and three loops (D, anti-codon, and T loops). The record is from RNAcentral. Lineage: Bacteria; Thermotogati; Deinococcota; Deinococci; Thermales; Thermaceae.